CGGCUGCAGGAGAAGCGGCAGAAGGAGCUCUGGAAUCUCCUGAAGAUUGCUUGUAGCAAGGUCCGUGGUCCUGUCAGUGGAAGUCCGGAUAGCAUGAAUGCCUCUCGACUUAGCCAGCCUGGGCAGCUGAUGUCUCAGCCCUCCACGGCCUCCAACAGCUUACCUGAGCCAGCCAAAAAGAGUGAAGAACUGGUGGCUGAAGCACAUAACCUGUGCACCCUGCUAGAAAAUGCCAUACAGGACACCGUGAGGGAACAAGACCAGAGUUUCACGGUAACAGCUUGUGUGAGCCUCCUGCGAUUCCAUGUCCUUUCUUUCUAUGGCAAAAUAGAAGAGAAAAUGGAAAUGCAAUCUGGCAUUAUCCUCAACCUCA
This 373-nucleotide small RNA is filed under the name Pan troglodytes (chimpanzee). RNAcentral's name for it is "retained intron". Lineage: Eukaryota; Metazoa; Chordata; Mammalia; Primates; Hominidae. The record is from RNAcentral.